ACCAGACCAAGAGCCUUCAAAGCUCUAAGCAAGUGCUAUACACUU
Molecule: transfer RNA, 45 nt
Filed under: Canis lupus (wolf)
Lineage: Eukaryota; Metazoa; Chordata; Mammalia; Carnivora; Canidae
Description: partial tRNA-Trp
Source: RNAcentral